GAACAUGCUUAAAUUUUUUUCACGGACAUAAUUUUUAUACCAAAUGUCAAUAAAAACCAAACCAAACAUUAACAUAUUAAAUAUUACAAAGAUGUGAAAAUUCAGGAGGGUAUGCCUAAAACUCAAAUUUUAGGAAUUAGAAGUAAUUUGAGGGGCAUCCUAAAUUAUGAACCAAGCUCAAGAGACUCAUUACUGUAUAACCGUGUGCCUUUCUCAACAGGAAGUCUGCCAGCACCCAACACCACGGGCGUGCCCACUGAGCCGAGGGCCACGUCCUCCACUAUAUUCCGGCUGUCGGUGUAACCUCGGCUGAAUGGCUGAGCCAGUGUCGAGAAAGGUAUCCUGAUGCUCCACGAGCAGUCUCUUUCUGUGGCAACAUUUACAUGCUGGAGCACAGGGGGCUCGGUGCCCUCGACUUUUAGGGUUGACAGUGAAACCGGAAAGAAGUGACAGGGGUAUAGAUGAGAAGAACUAGCUUUCCAUAGUCAUCUGAAUUGUGUUUACAGCGUGCUUUCAGG
RNAcentral lists this long non-coding RNA (518 nucleotides) under Bos taurus (domestic cattle). RNAcentral describes it as "long non-coding RNA NONBTAT025957". The record is from RNAcentral. Lineage: Eukaryota; Metazoa; Chordata; Mammalia; Artiodactyla; Bovidae.